UACGGAGGGUGCGAGCGUUGUCCGGAAUCACUGGGCGUAAAGGGCGCGUAGGUGGCCGAGCAAGGUCGCGGUGAAAGCCCGGGGCUCAACCCCGGGUCGGCCGUGGCAACUACUUGGCUUGAGCACUGUAGGGGCGGGUGGAAUUCCGGGUGUAGCGGUGGAAUGCGUAGAGAUCCGGAAGAACACCGGUGGCGAAGGCGGCCCGCUGGGCAGGAAGAGGGACGCAAGUCUCUCGGCUGACACUGAGGCGCGACAGCGUGGGGAGCAAACAGG
RNAcentral lists this ribosomal RNA (273 nucleotides) under uncultured bacterium. RNAcentral describes it as "partial 16S ribosomal RNA". It matches the Rfam family "Bacterial small subunit ribosomal RNA", at positions 524 to 776 of the family's 1533-position model. The record is from RNAcentral.